AUGGAUUUAAGCACUGAGCUCCAUCGGGACAUUGCGAAACCCGUUCCCGAACCUGAACCUCCUGCCCCGCUGAGACCGGCUUCUCCUGGUAAAGACUCCAACAGCAAGACUGUGGUACAGCAGCCUGUGUCUGACACUGUGUCUGACACAGACUCUGUGAGCCUGCAGUGUACGAUAGAGACUGGGAGCUGUGCAGGAGAACACAGUGUUUACUGGUUCAGACAUGGAUCAGGAGAAUCCCUUCCUGGAGUCAUUUACAGCCACGGAAACAGGAGUGAUGAGUGUGAGAAGAGCCCUGAGGCUGGAUCUCCUACACGGAGCUGCGUCUACAGCCUCCCCAAGGGGAACCUCAGCCUCUCCGAUGCUGGGACUUACUACUGCGCCGUGGCCAUGUGUGGGGAGAUGCUGUUUGGCAAUGGGACCAAGCUGGAUAUAGAUGGUAACACCCAGUGAGGGGAGAUGCUGUUUGGGAACGGCACACAGCUGGAUAUAGAUGGUAACACCCAGUGAGGGGAGAUGCUGUUUGGGAACGGCACACAGCUGGAUAUAGAUGGUAACACCCAGCGUGGGGAGAUGCUGUUUGGGAACGGAACACAGCUGGAUAUAGAUGGUAACACCCAGUGAGGGGAGAUGCUGUUUGAGAACGGCACAUAGCUGGA
This is a non-coding RNA of Brienomyrus brachyistius, 659 nucleotides long. NCBI's taxonomy places the organism in Eukaryota, Metazoa, Chordata, Actinopteri, Osteoglossiformes, Mormyridae. The record is from the annotation of a RefSeq genome assembly.